This 267-nucleotide unclassified non-coding RNA is filed under the name uncultured Herpotrichiellaceae. Its description in RNAcentral is "sequence contains ITS2". The record is from RNAcentral. Lineage: Eukaryota; Fungi; Ascomycota; Eurotiomycetes; Chaetothyriales; Herpotrichiellaceae.
AACGCACAUUGCGCCCUUUGGCAUUCCGAAGGGCAUGCCUGUCCGAGCGUCAUUAUCACCCCUCAGGCCCCCUCGGCUUGGUGUUGGAGUGUCCGUUCCGAUAUGGACCUCCCAAAGACAAUGACGGCGGCCCCGCGGCUUCCCGGUACACUGAGCUUCUUAAUCGGGCACGUACUGUCGGAUCUCCGGGGCCGACGGUCUCCCUCCGCGAGGAGAAAUUCUUUCAAGGUUGACCUCGGAUCAGGUAGGAAUACCCGCUGAACUUAA